GAUGAACGCUGGUGGCGUGCCUAAUACAUGCAAGUCGAGCGGACAGACGAGGAUCUUGCCUCUCUGACGUUAGCGACGGACGGGUGAUUCACACGUGGAUAACCUACCUAUAAGACUGGGAUACCUUAGGGAGACCUGAGCUAAUACCGGUCCAUAUAUUGAACCGCAUGGUUCAUUAGUGAAAGAGGUUUUUGCUGUCCCUUAUAGAGGUUUCCGCGCUGCAUUGGUUAGUUGGUACGGAAACGGCCUACCAAGGCGACGAUGCGUAGCCGACCUGAGAGGGUGAUCGGCCACACUGGAACUGAGAAACGGUCCAGACUCCUACGGGAGGCAGCAGUAGGGAAUCUUCCGCAAUGGGCGAAAGCCUGACGGAGCAACGCCGCGUGAGUGAUGAAGGUCUUCGGAUCGUAAAACUCUGUUAUUAGGGAAGAACAAAUGUGUAAGUAACUAUGCACGUCUUGACGGUACCUAAUCAGAAAGCCACGGCUAACUACGUG
Molecule: ribosomal RNA, 497 nt
Filed under: uncultured bacterium
Lineage: Bacteria
Description: partial 16S ribosomal RNA
Rfam family: Bacterial small subunit ribosomal RNA
Source: RNAcentral